CGUACACUCCUACGGGAGGCAGCAGUGGGGAAUAUUGGACAAUGGGCGCAAGCCUGAUCCAGCCAUGCCGCGUGAGUGAUGAAGGCCCUAGGGUUGUAAAGCUCUUUCACCGGUGAAGAUAAUGACGGUAACCGGAGAAGAAGCCCCGGCUAACUUCGUGCCAGCAGCCGCGGUAAUACGAAGGGGGCUAGCGUUGUUCGGAUUUACUGGGCGUAAAGCGCACGUAGGCGGACUAUUAAGUCAGGGGUGAAAUCCCGGGGCUCAACCCCGGAACUGCCUUUGAUACUGGUAGUCUUGAGUUCGAGAGAGGUGAGUGGAAUUCCGAGUGUAGAGGUGAAAUUCGUAGAUAUUCGGAGGAACACCAGUGGCGAAGGCGGCUCACUGGCUCGAUACUGACGCUGAGGUGCGAAAGCGUGGGGAGCAAACAGGAUUAGAAACCCGAGUAGUCC
This 449-nucleotide ribosomal RNA is filed under the name uncultured organism. RNAcentral's name for it is "partial 16S ribosomal RNA". It matches the Rfam family "Bacterial small subunit ribosomal RNA", at positions 330 to 796 of the family's 1533-position model. The record is from RNAcentral.